AUGACAAGGAGGCCCAGUUCAACAGUCCGAAUCUCAAUGUCGCUUACCGCAUGAAUGUGCGGGAGUACCAGUCUCUCACUUCCUAUGCCUCCUUGCUGGAGGAGAACUGGGGCAAGCCACCUGGGAACCUCAACUCUGAUGGUGAAAACCUCCUUGUCUAUGGGAAGCAGUAUGGCAAUGUCUUCAUAGGUGUGCAGCCCACUUUUGGGUAUGAAGGUGACCCGAUGCGGCUUCUGUUCUCAAAGUCUGCCAGCCCUCACCAUGGCUUUGCAGCAUAC
Molecule: long non-coding RNA, 278 nt
Filed under: Setaria italica (foxtail millet)
Lineage: Eukaryota; Viridiplantae; Streptophyta; Magnoliopsida; Poales; Poaceae
Description: long non-coding RNA (SITA_LNC005398)
Source: RNAcentral